AAUGUAAAUUCCUUGAAAACAGUGAUCUGUGUGCUGUGUUCAUAAUCAUAUCCUCAACAGUGCCCAGCAAUAGAAGGCACUCCAUAAGCUCUGCUGAAUAUACACAAGCGUCCUUUUCCAUUUACAAGUGGAGAUCACCAUUCAACAUAUGGCAAUCCAGAAGGCUUCAUCACACACCACAGACCAGGCAGGGUACCAAGAGCAUGAAGAGAAGCGUGCCUGGGCUUAGAGCCACCGUGUCUUCACUUGUGUGACAUUCUGUUGGCGAAAGCCUGGAUUCUCAGAAUGAAGAUGCAGCUCCACCUCUGGAUGGUGAACACUGAAAUCAUACUAUGGAGUGUGUGCACAUAGGGAGGCGCAGAAGAGAGGGCUGUCUCUCCCAGGAGAACCAGAAAAUGUCGGAAGAUGUUAAGAUCCCCGAUUACUUAGAGGAAAAACAACUAAAACAAGAACGUUGUUUAUCACUGUCGUGGAAAUUUCCUUUUAUUCUUGACACAACUUGAUGACUUAAAGUGUGUUUUCUUCUGUGUGAAGUACGUGAGCUUUCUCACUAAGCAUUCCCAACUCAUUGGAAGUGAUGUGGUUAUAAAGAUAAGUUAGGCGGCUAGACCCUGCAUUCUAAAAAAACGAUUACUUGAUCUGUUGCUUUGGCCAUUCAUUUGCACAAAAAGAGUGUGGCUCUCUGUUCUGAGAUCUUCAGCUACUUCAUAGUGCAAUAACACACACAUGCUUAACCAUGUUGAUGGCACAAAGCAGUGAGCAGUAGGGAGGCAGAGUAUCUUGGUGGGGAGGGGAUGUUAUCAGCUUCUGGGAGAUGGAGAAUAUUGUUGAGUUCCAAAGAUGCUAAAUUCUUCAGUGAUAUAAAAAAUCAUUGAGCAUUCAUUAUUGUGAAUGAAGUGGGGAUGCAUUAUUUCUGACACCCACAAGCAGGGUUUGAUCAUCCUUUCAGCUUUGAUGUAUCUGCACAUAAAAUUAUUAUUACCUGAAGAAAAUAAGGCUGCAUUUUGAAAUGUUAAGUGCAAAACAACUGGUGUUAAAACCAACUGGGGGAAAUCUUGGGAUUUUUUUCUUAGGAAAUCAUAUGGUUUUGAUAUAUUUUGGCACAUAGGAGACAGAAAUGGUGAUUAUCAGGCAUUGAGCCUUUUUUUGGUGGUUUUAGUCUUUGAUAGUCUGUAAGUACUAGUUCCUAGGGCAACAACAUUGCAUUCCUUGGUUUAUACUUUUUCUAUUCACCAGAGUAGGAAAUCUUAAAUCCUUAGGCAUCCAAGAAGUAUACCAGCUUUUUGCUUCUCUUUUAGAAACACUUGUGGGGACAGAAAAAAGGAUGGUUUGAGCAUAUUGAUAUAGUUUGAGUAAACUAAGGUUAAUGUUCAUGUAACAUUUAGACUUUGCCAUAAAUAUCAGAACCAAAGAUUAAGACAUUCAUGUGCAGUCUGG
Molecule: long non-coding RNA, 1437 nt
Organism: Nomascus leucogenys (northern white-cheeked gibbon)
Lineage: Eukaryota; Metazoa; Chordata; Mammalia; Primates; Hylobatidae
Exons: 3
Source: RefSeq, a predicted model, not a curated record